GUGGUUCGAUACGUCGGAUGUGAAAAUCAGGGGCUCAACCCUGACCUGCAUCCGAUACGGUCGAGCUAGAGUUUGGUAGGGGAGACUGGAAUUCCUGGUGUAGCGGUGGAAUGCGCAGAUAUCAGGAGGAACACCGAUGGCGAAGGCAGGUCUCUGGGCCAAUACUGACACUGAGGAGCGAAAGCGUGGGGAGCGAACAGGAUUAGAUACCCUGGUAGUCCACGCCGUAAACGGUGGGCGCUAGUUGUGCGAACCUUCCACGGUUUGUGCGACGCAGCUAACGCAUUAAGCGCCCCGCCUGGGGAGUACGAUCGCAAGAUUAAAACUCAAAGGAAUUGACGGGGCCCCGCACAAGCAGCGGAGCAUGCGGCUUAAUUCGACGCAACGCGAAGAACCUUACCAAGGCUUGACAUAUACAGGAAUAUGGCAGAGAUGUCAUAGCCGCAAGGUCUGUAUACAGGUGGUGCAUGGUUGUCGUCAGCUCGUGUCGUGAGAUGUCGGGUUAAGUCCCGCAACGAGCGCAACCCUCGUUCUGUGUUGCCAGCAUUAAGUUGGGGACUCACAGGAGACUGCCGGGGUUAACUCGGAGGAAGGUGGGGAUGACGUCAAAUCAUCAUGCCCCUUAUGUCUUGGGCUGCACGCAUGCUACAAUGGCUGGUACAAACGGCUGCGAUACCGCAAGGUGGAGCGAAUCCGAUAAAGCCAGUCUCAGUUCGGAUUGGGGUCUGCAACUCGACCCCAUGAAGUCGGAGUUGCUAGUAAUCGUAGAUCAGCAACGCUACGGUGAACACGUUCCCGGGGCUUGUACACACCGCCCGUCACAUCACGAAAGUCGGUAACACCCAAAGUCAGUGGCCCAACCGUAAGGAGGGAGCUGCCAAAGGUGGGAUCGGUGAUUGGGAUGAAGUCGUAACAAGGUA
Molecule: ribosomal RNA, 920 nt
Filed under: uncultured bacterium
Lineage: Bacteria
Description: bacterial SSU rRNA
Rfam family: Bacterial small subunit ribosomal RNA
Source: RNAcentral